GUCUGUCCCCAUUUCCUCCACUUGCUUGACUCACCUGAAAUUUGUCUUGACGGGUCAACAUGUCAGCCUGCCGGACUGAACUGGAGCAUGCUAUUUAUACCAUAAUCAAAGUUUUCAAUAAGUAUUCAGAAAACUGUGAGAGGAUGGGCAUGAGUGAGAGUGCAAUGCUUCAACCUAAGGAACGGCGUGUGCUGAGUGAGGGCAGACUGCGUCAACUGGUAAAGGAGCAGCUUCCAGACAUGCCAAUGGCCUCUUGUGUUGUUCAUGAAUUUUUGGGAGAAAUAAAUGGCCCAGUCAACUUCAAUGAGUUCACGGAAUUAGUACGCAAAGUUCCUAAGAGUUCAUAUGAGAACCCCAGACCAUGAAGCACCAACCUGGAGGUGAAGAAUCCAUCAACUCAACUUCAUCUCUAAAGCUCAUGUCCUCCUGAGUCAAUAAAGAGUUGAUUGAACGAUC
Long non-coding RNA from Lacerta agilis (Sand lizard), 456 nucleotides. RefSeq lists it as uncharacterized. Lineage: Eukaryota; Metazoa; Chordata; Lepidosauria; Squamata; Lacertidae. The transcript is spliced from 2 exons. The record is from RefSeq and is a predicted model, not a curated record.